AGAGUUUGAUCCUGGCUCAGAAUCAACGCUGGCGGCGUGCCUAACACAUGCAAGUCGAACGAGAAAGGGGAGCAAUCCCUGAGUAAAGUGGCGACCGGGUGUGUAACACGUGACUAACCUACCCUCGAGUGUGGAAUAACAUCGGGAAACCGAUGCUAAUACCGCAUAACAUCGCAAGAUCAAAGCCGUAAGGCGCUUGAGGAGGGGGUCGCGGCUGAUUAGCUAGUUGGCGGGGUAACGGCCCACCAAGGCGAAGAUCGGUAGCCGGCCUGAGAGGGCGCACGGCCACACUGGAACUGAAACACGGUCCAGACUCCUACGGGAGGCAGCAGUGGGGAAUUUUGCGCAAUGGGGGAAACCCUGACGCAGCAACGCCGCGUGGAGGAUGAAGCCCCUUGGGGCGUAAACUCCUUUCGACCAAGACGAUAAUGACGGUACUGGUGGAAGAAGCACCGGCUAACUCUG
This 465-nucleotide ribosomal RNA is filed under the name uncultured bacterium. Its description in RNAcentral is "bacterial SSU rRNA". It matches the Rfam family "Bacterial small subunit ribosomal RNA", at positions 8 to 505 of the family's 1533-position model. The record is from RNAcentral.